Molecule: ribosomal RNA, 429 nt
Filed under: Verrucomicrobiota bacterium
Lineage: Bacteria; Pseudomonadati; Verrucomicrobiota
Description: Verrucomicrobia bacterium partial 16S ribosomal RNA
Rfam family: Bacterial small subunit ribosomal RNA
Source: RNAcentral
UGGGGAAUCUUCCGCAAUGGACGAAAGUCUGACGGAGCAACGCCGCGUGAGUGAUGACGGCCUUCGGAUUGUAAAGCUCUGUUAAUCGGGACGAAUGGUUUGUGUGCAAAUAGUGCAUAGACAUGACGGUACCGGAAUAGAAAGCCACGGCUAACUACGUGCCAGCAGCCGCGGUAAAACGUAGGUGGCAAGCGUUGUCCGGAAUUAUUGGGCGUAAAGCGCGCGCAGGCGGACUGGCCAGACAGUCUUAAAAGUUCGGGGCUUAACCCCAUACUGGGAUUGAAAAUACUAGUCUAGAGUAACGGAGAGGAGAGUGGAAUUCCAAGUGUAGCAGUGAAAUGCGUAGAUAUUAGGAAGAACACCAGUGGCGAAGGCGACGUUCUGGACGAACACUGACGCUGAGGCACGAAAGCGAGGGGAGCAAACGGG